RNAcentral lists this long non-coding RNA (2301 nucleotides) under Coffea arabica (coffee). RNAcentral describes it as "long non-coding RNA (CARA_LNC008030)". The record is from RNAcentral. Lineage: Eukaryota; Viridiplantae; Streptophyta; Magnoliopsida; Gentianales; Rubiaceae.
CAAAAUAAAAAAAUGAAAUCCGGAGUCGGCCAUGAAUAGUAACCGACCCGUCAGAACCCAGUCAAACAUCAAAAUACAUAUACAACAUAACAUUUAGUAUUUACAAGCCAAAGUGGCAUACAAAAGUGAUACAAAAGUUACUACAUGUAUGGUUUGCCAAAAUCCAAAGUGAAACGGCUCUAAAGGUACAUUUAGGGUUUCGAUUCAUAAGCUAUACAAAAGAGACAUUCAUUUAGCUCAUUCGGCAACCAACUAGCAAGAAUCAUUCCAAAAGUAGUCAUAUGCCUGUAAGGAAAACAAAAGGAACGGUGUGAGCUAAUUGCCCAGUGAGAUACUAUCACUUAAGCAACCAAGAUCACAUAAGCAUAACCUUCAUUCCAAUUACUUUAUUAAGAAGUAAAACAAAUCGGUAAAAGGAUACGGACGGCUCUCAAGAGCCCAUUUCCACGCUUACAUUCUUGAUCGAACCUCAUUGACCCUCCGUCAAUGUUUAAGAAUAACCAACCGUAGACUUCACUUCACUUCCAUUCUUUCCACCCAACAUACCCCUACCGGGCCCGCACUCCAAACAGUAGCCAUUUGGUAAUACUCGAGUAUACCGGAAUCGAGAGUCUCACUACUACAAGAUUCCAUAUAACAGUCCCCAUGGCUCGUCAAUUUUCACGACCAAGCCCUCGCCGGCUCGAUUCAAUUGACUACCAACGGGGUUGAGCUCAGUAGUAACAGUAAGGCCGUUGGAUACUCGUCCAAACGACACCAAAUCAGUUUUCCAUGAAUGGAAUUUAGUAUUUCAUGUAUCAUUCAGUCAUUACAGUGAAACAGUAGACAAUCCUCAACAAUAUCAAAGGAUGUGAGGGCGAUCAAGUACACCCUCACUUUAAUCAGUUUCAACAGUGCAAAUAAGCCUUCAAGGCGUUAAUUUCAAUAUAAUAAAGUCACAUUGUAAACAAACAAGUGAGUAGUAUACUCACAUAGCAAGCAAGUGGAAUAUCGUGAACUUCUGCCCAAAAGGCGUCUUUAAUUACCGUCACGCCCUAAAACAUGCAAACAAGUACAAUGAGACUCGAUAACGAGUCAUAAACCAAUGCCAAAUACUCCCAAAAUAGGGUUCCAUACGCAUACAUAAGCAUUAGAGGAAAUCAGAAAAAUCCGGAAAUGCAAUUGGACUUCAAUUAAAAAAACAGUUUUUGACGUCAUUAUGCGGUUUUAGCACCAACGGCACUACAAUUAUCGGAUGGGGGUGUAAGACCCACCGUUUCGAAGCUAAGAGACAGGGAUACAAUGUUUCAGAAGGCGAUUUUGUCCAGUUUUGAGUGUAACAAGGUCAAAAAUGCAUUAUACUAUACCAGAACCGGAAAAACAGAUUCACAAAACGCAUUCUGCUGCAAACAGCAUAACUCAGCCUAAUUAAGUCCAAAUCCAGAAAUUCCAAAACCAUCUGAAAGCUAAGAAACAGGGAUAAAUUUCAUCAGAAGGCCUGAACAGCCAAUUAGGAAGCAAUUCCAGCCAAAACAACCAAUUACAGGCGCAAUUCUUACAUUCGGGUAAAACCAGAACAGCAAUAGUAAUUUCGACUUUUCUCAUUCUACACUACUCCGAUUGACCUGAAAUUUUGUAGGCACCUCUAAAAUGUCAUUCCCUACAACUUUCAUGUUUUAAACCAAGGCCAAUUCGGCCUCUAACUAGGAGCUAAAAAUUCGGGCAGAAUGCUCCCUCAAGAACCCUAAUUUUCUGAAAUUUCUUCCAAACCAGAAAUUGGUUGCAAUUAAUCAUUUUUUCCACCUCCUAGAGUCAUUAUAUACCAUUUCUAAUCAUCAUAGAUAGCCACACAAUCAUGCUCAUAUUAAAACAGAAAAAAAUCUCCAAAAAUAAUAAAACUUCAUCACUUCAACCACAAAUCAAGAAAUAACCCAUAAACUUGCAUCUCAUACUACCACUAAGCAUGAUUUAAGCAUCAAUUAAGGGAGGAGGGUGGUUCUUCACAACUUACCUUAAAACAAGAGAGAGAGAGCUAUUGGACACCUUAACUUUCCAAAUAACUUCACACAACAACUCACCAACACCUCCUUAAGUGGUUUUAUGGAGCAAAAUCAAGGUUGGAUGGUUGGUUUUGAUGAUUUGGAACAAACUUGAAGAGUUUUCUUCCUUGUGCUUAGAGUAAGAGAGAGAGAAAGAGAGAAUGAGAGGGCCGGCCACCAUGGAGGAUUUUUUGAUGAUUUUUGGGUAAUUUUUAAGCUAUUUUAACCAAAUUGGUAAAAGGGUGAAUAGUGUUCAAAAAGGUCAAACCACUCCUAUGGUGAC